Long non-coding RNA from Lynx canadensis (Canada lynx), 292 nucleotides. RefSeq lists it as uncharacterized. The transcript is spliced from 2 exons. The record is from RefSeq and is a predicted model, not a curated record. NCBI's taxonomy places the organism in Eukaryota, Metazoa, Chordata, Mammalia, Carnivora, Felidae.
AAAAAAAAGACAAACCAAGAAACAGACUCUUAACUAUAGAGAACAAACUAAUGGUGACCAAAGGGGAGUCAGAAGGGGGAUGGGAGAAGUAGGGAAUGGUAAUUAAAAAGUACACUUAUCAUAAUGAAAAAAAAAUUUUUUUAAAGGUAACCUGAAAAAAUUUACAGUCACUAAAUGAAACAACCAAGAGGACACCACUUAAACAGCACAGAUGCAGCAAGAGGGAACUUUGGCUGCUUGUCCCAUAAGAUCAAAGUCAAAAUGUAUACCUCUUACCUUAGUUAUAGACCAG